UGGGUUGGGAAAUGAGUAGAGG
RNAcentral lists this microRNA (22 nucleotides) under Mus musculus (house mouse). RNAcentral's name for it is "mmu-miR-7066-5p". Lineage: Eukaryota; Metazoa; Chordata; Mammalia; Rodentia; Muridae. The record is from miRBase by way of RNAcentral.